MicroRNA precursor from Neotoma lepida (desert woodrat), 64 nucleotides. It matches the Rfam family "mir-344 microRNA precursor family". Lineage: Eukaryota; Metazoa; Chordata; Mammalia; Rodentia; Cricetidae. The record is from Rfam.
UUACCAGCCAGGCUCCUGGCUAAAUUCCAGCUCUUUGCUGGAUUUAGUCAAACCUGGCUGUAAA